Molecule: ribosomal RNA, 492 nt
Filed under: uncultured bacterium
Lineage: Bacteria
Description: partial 16S ribosomal RNA
Rfam family: Bacterial small subunit ribosomal RNA
Source: RNAcentral
AGUGAACGCUGGCGGUAGGCCUAACACAUGCAAGUCGAACGGCAGCACAGUAAGAGCUUGCUCUUACGGGUGGCGAGUGGCGGACGGGUGAGGAAUACAUCGGAAUCUACUUUUUCGUGGGGGAUAACGUAGGGAAACUUACGCUAAUACCGCAUACGACCUACGGGUGAAAGCAGGGGAUCUUCGGACCUUGCGCGAUUGAAUGAGCCGAUGUGGGAUUAGCUAGUUGGCGGGGUAAAGGCCCACCAAGGCGACGAUCCGUAGCUGGUCUGAGAGGAUGGUCGGCCACACUGGAACUGAGACACGGUCCAGACUCCUACGGGAGGCAGCAGUGGGGAAUAUUGGACAAUGGGCGCAAGCCUGAUCCAGCCAUACCGCGUGGGUGAAGAAGGCCUUCGGGUUGUAAAGCCCUUUUGUUGGGAAAGAAAAGCAGCAGGUUAAUACCCCGCUGUUCUGACGGUACCCAAAGAAUAAGCACCGGCUAACUUCGUG